Micropterus salmoides (largemouth bass) is the source of this 1152-nucleotide long non-coding RNA. RefSeq lists it as uncharacterized. Lineage: Eukaryota; Metazoa; Chordata; Actinopteri; Centrarchiformes; Centrarchidae. The record is from RefSeq and is a predicted model, not a curated record. The transcript is spliced from 3 exons.
UAGAGCAUCACCUGGCAAACUGAUCCAGCACAGUUUAUCUAAUAACUUUCUAUCUCCAUUUCUAGAGAAAUCAUCAGUGAUAAGAAUUAUCAAGUUGAUUCUGGUGGUUGUGAUGCCAAUUGCUCUACUUCUGUUUUGUCUGAGGAAGAAGAAAACUCUGAGCUCCACUGCUGAACCAAAUGAACAGAUAGAGACUAUAGAGUUGAUGUCUGGUCCUGAUUGUACCAACGCCUCAGCCUUGAACCAAAACUGUAUGUGACUUUCUUCAGAUGGAAUCAAACCAGAGGGGACUCACCUGGAUCGGAACAAAGAAAAGCCACUGAAGUAGUCCAGUGUAGAACGAGGGAAGGUGGAGGAAGUGGAUACAUUUACCUUCAAGGAACGUUUUCAUUUUUAGUUUUUAUUAGCAGCAGCAUAUAUUUUUACCCGUGCAGGUACAUUACAUACGCUCAGUAUUUAACUCAGUAUGUAAAAUAUUAUUUAAAGUUUUAAUGUAAUAAAUAGUUUUUAAGAAAUACUGGUUGCCCUUUCACGUCACACCUGUCCUGGUAAUGAAAGCCAAUAAAGUCUGUUCAAAACAAACACAUUGAACAGGACAUAUCUCACAGCAUGUACUGUCUGUAUUUAAACACUGAAAUCAAACAGAAGCCCAGCUCUGUCACACUUUGCAAGUGUUUCAUUUUCAAAUUGUUGCAGCCAGCUUCCACAACAACUCUGCAGUUUGAUCAUCAUUUCAGUUUCCUCUCACUGCUGUAGAGGGUGACAGUGUGCAGGAAGUUUUAGAUUUCAGCUUUAAACAAACUGCUUGUGUUUAUUAUUCAGAACAAAGUUUGUAUUUAUCAGUAAUCAACAAAAAUACAAUUUCUCAAAUGUUUGUAGGGGUCAGGGUAAUUUCUUUGGUUUAAAAAACAGUUUCAAAAAUACACCUAUCAGCCGUAAUGUUAUGACCACUUACAGGUGAUGCGAAUAACACCGAUUAUCUCGUUACCAUGGCACCUGUCAGUGGGUGUGAUAUAUCAGGCAGCAGGUAAACACUGUGUCUCAUAGUUGAUGUGCUACAAGCAGGAAAAAUUGGCUGUGUAACGCCUCAUGUCUCUGAACAGUGCUGCUGAAAAUGACAUGAUGUGGACGAGUUUCUUAAGUGUUAAAUAU